RNAcentral lists this ribosomal RNA (728 nucleotides) under uncultured euryarchaeote. Its description in RNAcentral is "bacterial SSU rRNA". It matches the Rfam family "Archaeal small subunit ribosomal RNA", at positions 130 to 863 of the family's 1478-position model. Lineage: Archaea; Methanobacteriati; Methanobacteriota. The record is from RNAcentral.
CCCCGGGAAACUGGGAAUAAUACCCUAUAGGUUACAGGUGCUGGAAUGCUCUGUAACCGAAAGUUCCGGCGCCUUAGGAUGGAUCUGCGGCCGAUUAGGUUGUUGUUGGGGUAACGGCCCAACAAGCCAGUAAUCGGUACGGGUUGUGGGAGCAAGAGCCCGGAGUUGGAUUCUGAGACACGAAUCCAGGCCCUACGGGGCGCAGCAGGCGCGAAAACUUUACAAUGCGGGCAACCGUGAUAAGGGAACCUCGAGUGCCUGUAUAUGCAGGCUGUCUGGGUGUCUAAAACACACCCAAAGAAAGGGCCGGGCAAGACCGGUGCCAGCCGCCGCGGUAAUACCGGCGGCUCGAGUGGUGGCCACUUUUAUUGGGCUUAAAGCGUUCGUAGCUGGGUUGUUAAGUCUCUUGGGAAAUCUGACGGCUUAACCGUCAGGCGUCUAAGAGAUACUGGCAAUCUUGGAACCGGGAGAGGUGAGGGGUACUUCGGGGGUAGGAGUGAAAUCCUGUAAUCCUCGAGGGACCACCUGUGGCGAAGGCGCCUCACCAGAACGGCUUCGACAGUGAGGGACGAAAGCUGGGGGAGCAAACCGGAUUAGAUACCCGGGUAGUCCCAGCCGUAAACGAUGUGCGUUAGGUGUAUCGGUGACCACGAGUCACCGAGGUGCCGAAGGGAAACCGUGAAACGUACCGCCUGGGGAGUACGGUCGCAAGGCUGAAACUUAAAGGA